CAUUAUCAUAUACGUAUUCAUCUGCGUAUCAAUGCAAAUACGACUUACAUCUUGCAUCGAAAAAUGACAAUAGUCGACUAUAAUUAGUGAAUUUCUUAAUCAGUGGUAUUACAUCUUACGUUGAUACAUUUGUGAAGAGCUUUGUUAUCUACGGCCAGUUGAAAGGCACUUUAACUAUUAACCGAGGUAUUGAAAUCUUUUAUCAAAAGUCUUAACGUUAACGACAAACGAAUAAAAGAUUGUAUUAGAGUUUAAUUCGAUAUCUUCCAUUGUAUCUUCCAAUAUAAUAAUGUAAAGUUUAUUAACGAGAAGUAGAAUCAUAUAUCUAAUUAAAAAUAAACAACUAAUAGAUUUCGUUCCAUUACAAAGAUAUAUAUACAUACAUUUAUGCGUACACAUUAAAAGUAUUGCUAAUAAAAAAUCAAUAGGAUUAUAGAAAACAUUUCAUUGUAAUUUGAUGCCGAAAAUAACAAAUACCCUUCAAUAAUGUGUAAUUUUUUCUUUUUCUAUCAAGUAUUAAUAUCUUUUUAAUCAAUUUAAACAUUUUUAGUUCAUAAUGUAUCAAUAACAAUAUCAGAUAUUUAAUUUUGGCUCAUUGCAGAACAAAGGUUGCUCGUUACUGUCCAUACAAUAUAAGAAAAUCUCAAGCAAUACCCAAGAGAAAGACUACUGUAUACUUUGUGUAUGUGUGUGUGGGUGUGUAUAUUAUGUAUCUAGUUACGUACAUAUGUACAUAUACACAUAUGUAUCUAUUUACAAAUGUAUGUUUGUAUGGGAUCUUCCAACAUUCCACCUCGGUGGUUGCCGAAAGACUGAUCUCAUACGAUAUUCGACAGAAAGUAAAUAACAUAAGUUGUAUUUAGAUAUUUCAGCUUAUAUAGAAACAUAUAAACAUUGUAAUAAGAUUUGCUUUGUAUACGUCAGCUAGUAAAUGGUAUAAACAUU
Molecule: long non-coding RNA, 945 nt
Organism: Vespula vulgaris
Lineage: Eukaryota; Metazoa; Arthropoda; Insecta; Hymenoptera; Vespidae
Exons: 3
Source: RefSeq, a predicted model, not a curated record